AGACACUUGGCAGGCGGUUGCAUACCUUGGAUGGUGUUGCGGACCAAACCAGAAAUAAAAUUAAACCAAACAUUAUGCAAAUUGAUGGGUAAUGUUAGCUCCAUUGUGAAGCCAAGAAAAAAGAAAAGCAUGCUUAAAGAUCGUCCCAAGUUCUACCUAUGUUGGAGGAGCGAAACAUUUUCUCACCUAGCCUGGCUCGGCCAAUGGAUGAGAGGUGUCUCGCAACUUCUACAUACUUAUUCCACAAGCAGCUAAGGAGCUCAACAUUAGGUUGCUAAAGAAGAAUAGGAGGAGUUGCUAAAAUCGAGAAAGCUUUUACGGACAUUAGAGACCCUAGUUAGCAGCCCAUGCAUGGAAAACUCUAAAUGAUUAGAUAGUUCUUCUAUCAAACCAGCCUCUUGACAUUGGGUGUAAACCGACCUUGAGAUGGACCUUGAGAUGGAUGAUCCUAGACACAUUUAACUGACCUUGAUAAAAACACAUUUGAUUGACCUUGGUGAAAACACAUUCGACUGACCUCGGAUUUCACCGAGGUCCCACCUCAGCAUCUCACCAAAAUUUCUGGAUAGUUUCCUUCAACUAUACAUAUGUGGGCUAGAUUAUCGUGUGUAAUGCCUGUAGAUGAUGCGCAUAAUUGACGCCCAUCAUCAUGCACCUAUCUUUAGUGCAUGCAAUAGAUGUCCACAAUCUUCAGUUAAGUGGGUGCAGAUUCUUCAGUUCCCUUACUGGAUUUAAUAGUAAAAGUCAACUACUCCACCUCUAUAUAAAGGGGAAGAAAGAGAACCCUUGGAUAAAUAUUCUCUCUAAAGAAAAGAAGCCUUCCUCUCUUUCUUUCUUAUUUUUUAUUAUUUUCAAGCUCCGACUAAUUUAAGCAUCGAGGUCCUUCGUCAGAAAAUCUCCGAUGAUUGUGGAUUUUCUUUUAGGUCUCUGAGACAAAGGUGCUUUAGUUCAUCACUGGAUCUUAGGUCGGUAAGAGAUGGACCUCAACCGCACUGACCUGUUGUUUUGCGACAACAACUUAC
Molecule: long non-coding RNA, 1022 nt
Filed under: Elaeis guineensis (African oil palm)
Lineage: Eukaryota; Viridiplantae; Streptophyta; Magnoliopsida; Arecales; Arecaceae
Description: long non-coding RNA (EGUI_LNC061146)
Source: RNAcentral